This 611-nucleotide ribosomal RNA is filed under the name Nybelinia sp. 1 JB-2022. RNAcentral describes it as "partial large subunit ribosomal RNA". Lineage: Eukaryota; Metazoa; Platyhelminthes; Cestoda; Trypanorhyncha; Tentaculariidae. The record is from RNAcentral.
GAAGGGUAUACGUCCUGUGUAUCUCAGUCGGUGAUAGUGAGUUGUCUGCUGGCUAACAGCAGGCCUAGUCGCAAGACUAGGAUGUACGUUCCACGUGUUCGGUGGUGUACGCUGCUCGGCUAUUGGACUGGAUGGCCAGUGCACUUCCUCCAUUAAGGUGAACACCACGACCGGUGGAGCUGCCAGUCUGGUAUAGUCAAGUUGUGUCUAUUCCGGCAUUCGUGUGGAUUAGGCUCAAUCACAGGCAGAUUCGGUGGACGGUGAGUGGACUUCGGUUUGCUCAUGUUAUCGGUCACUGGCUGUCAACGGGUUUGCCCGCUGAGGUUGCAGUCCUUGGUGGGUGGCCUGGUGGGCUAUUCUGGUAAUAAUAACUGUGCAGGGCACCGGAGUUGACGGUCUCUAAUCCGGCUGACGCACGCGCUGCAGGUGUGUGUGGAGAUGUCAUUGCGGCCUGUCGUUGGUUGGGUCUGAUUGCCGUGUCGCCUGCGAAAAGUAGGUCCGGUAGUGGCUCGGCUACGGUCGGUGCAUGUAAUGGUGCUUCUCGGUCAGUGGGUGUGGGCCUAACAGUCUGUGGUGUAGUGGUAGACGAGCUACCCGACCCGUCUUGAAAC